AAAUUUGUCUGAUUUUUACAGGCAGGCCCUCUUUAAAUGGAUUAGCCAAUCAGAACGCGCUAUGUUCCGAUGAACAUGAAUUAAUUAAUGCUCACCUCCUGUUUAUCAUUCGCUGGUUUUUAAUUCAGUCCAUUCAUCUCCACACUAUUAGGACAAUUCGUGGCGUGCUAAACAACACCAAGCAGAGAUGUUUCCUGGCAAAGAAUUUAUGCGGAGUGCCGUGCUUGUCGCCAUCGGCGGGAUAGUUGCAUUGUUGGUUUCAAAAUUGUUAGAGGGUGACGAAGGAGCAGCAGCGCAGAGAGACAUGAGAGAGAUCGGAGGAGAAGAUGAGUUGAACGAAGCUGGGAAGCAGCCACAAGAACAUGACGAGAGGUUGUGCCCUGAAGGAAUAUAAAGCACAAGAGAGACAUUAUUGCAGCCAACAUUUUAGUGCUUUAACUAUUAGACGUCAGAUUUACCUGAAUUCCCACAGUUCCUAGCUUGGAACACCGAAGUAUGUCAGUAGUUGUCGCGGACAGUUUUAAAGUAGAGAAUUGUAAACAUCUUAUCUAACUGUUUUCUUUGUACGUAGUUUUGUAAGAUGCUUGUUUGCUGCAUAGUACGGACAGUAAGCACCGCGAACUUGUGUUUGUAUAAAAUGAUACUGCCUUGUUACAUAACCGAUCACUCUACGUUGAUAAAAUGUUAUUCAUGUCAAA
This is a long non-coding RNA of Orbicella faveolata, 698 nucleotides long. RefSeq lists it as uncharacterized. NCBI's taxonomy places the organism in Eukaryota, Metazoa, Cnidaria, Anthozoa, Scleractinia, Merulinidae. The record is from RefSeq and is a predicted model, not a curated record.